UACGGGGGGGGUAAGCGUUGUUCGGAAUUACUGGGCGUAAAGGGCUCGCAGGCGGCCAACUAAGUCAGACGUGAAAUCCCUCAGCUUAACUGGGGAACUGCGUCUGAUACUGGAUGGCUUGGAUUUGGGAGAGGGAUGCGGAAUUCCAGGUGUAGCGGUGAAAUUCGUAGAUAUUCGCAAGAACACCAGUGGCGAAGGCGGCUUACUGGUCCGGUUCUGACGCUGAGGCGCGAAAGCGUGGGGAGCAAACAGG
Molecule: ribosomal RNA, 253 nt
Filed under: uncultured bacterium
Lineage: Bacteria
Description: partial 16S ribosomal RNA
Rfam family: Bacterial small subunit ribosomal RNA
Source: RNAcentral